Molecule: long non-coding RNA, 370 nt
Filed under: Setaria viridis
Lineage: Eukaryota; Viridiplantae; Streptophyta; Magnoliopsida; Poales; Poaceae
Description: long non-coding RNA (SVIR_LNC004729)
Source: RNAcentral
UAGCAACAGGCAAUAACACGUGUGUAGGGGUAGGUUUUGACGGUCGUUAAGUACCAAAUAUGACCGUCAAUAUUCUCAAGGAUGAAUGAGAACUAGCAUUUCUUACACGCAUAUUUAGUUUUAGAAUAAUGUAGUUCCACAUGUCCUUUGAGAGUAUUUGGGUGCAGGUGAAUAACCACAAAAGAAAGGAGAAAACACACUCCCAUGGCGAAGAAACACAACUCUGACCAAUGAGAGAUCACCACGGGGGCAGCACACAGAUCCAUGGACCCACAAACUGCAGCAAACCGCCUUACUGAGGCGGGUAGCAUCCACAACCAUCAUUGGGAUCCACCUGGAAGUCUACCGGACGAAGGCGGUUGUGAGUGGG